GCGGCAAUGGCGGAAUUGGUAGACGCGCUAGCUUCAGGUGCUAGUUCCCUUUAUGGGAGUGGAGGUUCAAGUCCUCUUUGCCGCA
RNAcentral lists this transfer RNA (85 nucleotides) under Kiloniella litopenaei. It matches the Rfam family "tRNA". Rfam says of the family: Transfer RNA (tRNA) molecules are approximately 80 nucleotides in length. Their secondary structure includes four short double-helical elements and three loops (D, anti-codon, and T loops). Further hydrogen bonds mediate the characteristic L-shaped molecular structure. tRNAs have two regions of fundamental functional importance: the anti-codon, which is responsible for specific mRNA codon recognition, and the 3' end, to which the tRNAs corresponding amino acid is attached (by aminoacyl-tRNA synthetases). tRNAs cope with the degeneracy of the genetic code in two manners: having more than one tRNA (with a specific anti-codon) for a particular amino acid; and 'wobble' base-pairing, i.e. permitting non-standard base-pairing at the 3rd anti-codon position. The record is from Rfam by way of RNAcentral. Lineage: Bacteria; Pseudomonadati; Pseudomonadota; Alphaproteobacteria; Rhodospirillales; Kiloniellaceae.